Molecule: long non-coding RNA, 680 nt
Filed under: Homo sapiens (human)
Lineage: Eukaryota; Metazoa; Chordata; Mammalia; Primates; Hominidae
Description: non-protein coding lnc-TRUB2-2:1
Source: RNAcentral
CUGCGAGCCAUCAGUCAGGAACAGCUUCACCCUCUUAGAGGUGAUGCUGGUGCUACUGGCCAAGGAUCACAUUUGGAGAACCACAGAAGUAUUCUCCAGACCCACAGGCCACCCCGAAGCUCAGAGGCUAUAAGUCUGUCUGAUCUCUGCAUCCUCCACCUCCCCAGUCCCCAUGGAGAGUUGAGAGGAACUCCUGCUCUGGCCAAAAUGGAGCUGAUGGUUUACACAGAAACAUCCAGGAGUAUGUGCAUUUCAGAAAAUAAGGGCAACCUGAGAAAUUCCCUUGCCCCAAACACACAAACCACCCAAACCAGAAACAGUGUUCAUCCUCCACUCGUCUCUAGAGUGUCCACUUCAGGAGCGCAGGGGCUGGGCCUGGGCCAGGAUCUCCAGCCCCUGCAACUGUGGGAACCCUCCAGGCCAAGUUCAGAUGCUCCCUCCUCCAUGAGGCCUGCGGUGGCUCCCACUUCUCAGGAUGCACUGAUGGCUCCCUCCUGGGUAUGGGUCCCAAUAUCCCUGCUGUAAGCACUCGUGUGUGUACGGAAAUCUUGUGCCACCUCCUACUGGGUGCUCUCUUAAGGCAAGGGCCACUUCUUCAUGUCCCACAGAAUCCAGCACAAAAUAGAUGCUCUGAGAGUUUCACUUUAGAAGUCCAAUCAAGGAUCAAAUAAACUUUAAAG